UACGUAGGGUGCGAGCGUUGUCCGGAAUUAUUGGGCGUAAAGGGCUCGUAGGCGGUUUGUCGCGUCGGGAGUGAAAUCCACUGGCUUAACUGGUGGCUUGCUUUCGAUACGGGCAGACUGGAGGUAUGCAGGGGAGAACGGAAUUCCUGGUGUAGCGGUGGAAUGCGCAGAUAUCAGGAGGAACACCAAUAGCGAAGGCAGCUCGCUGGGACGUUACUGACACUGAGGCGCGAAAGCGUGGGGAGCGAACAGG
This 253-nucleotide ribosomal RNA is filed under the name uncultured bacterium. RNAcentral describes it as "partial 16S ribosomal RNA". It matches the Rfam family "Bacterial small subunit ribosomal RNA", at positions 524 to 776 of the family's 1533-position model. The record is from RNAcentral.